GGUGAACGCUAGCGGCAGGCUUAAUACAUGCAAGGCGAAGGGUCAGCAAUGGCACUGUCGUACGGGUGCGUAACGCGUAUGCAACCUACCUAUCACUGGGGGAUAGCCCGGGGAAACCCGGAUUAAUACCGCAUAACACAGGGGUCCCGCAUGGGUACUAUUUGUUAAAGAUUUAUCGGUGGUAGAUGGGCAUGCGUUCGAUUAGCUAGUUGGCAGGGUAACGGCCUACCAAGGCGACGAUCGAUAGGGGAGCUGAGAGGUUGAUCCCCCACACGGGCACUGGGAUACGGGCCCGACUCCUACGGGAGGCAGCAGUAGGGAAUAUUGGGCAAUGGAUGCAAGUCUGACCCAGCCAUGCCGCGUGCCGGAUGAAUGCCCUCAGGGUUGUAAACGGCCUUUAUUCGGGAAGAAGAGCAGGGAUGCGUCCUUGUGUGACGGUACCGAAUGAAUAAGCACCGGCUAACUCCGUGCCAGCAGCCGCAGUAA
RNAcentral lists this ribosomal RNA (486 nucleotides) under uncultured bacterium. Its description in RNAcentral is "partial 16S ribosomal RNA". It matches the Rfam family "Bacterial small subunit ribosomal RNA", at positions 28 to 523 of the family's 1533-position model. The record is from RNAcentral.